This 490-nucleotide ribosomal RNA is filed under the name uncultured bacterium. RNAcentral describes it as "partial 16S ribosomal RNA". It matches the Rfam family "Bacterial small subunit ribosomal RNA", at positions 29 to 507 of the family's 1533-position model. The record is from RNAcentral.
AAUGAACGCUGGCGGCAUGCCUUACACAUGCCAGUCGAACGGCAGCAUGACCUAGCUUGCUAGGUUGAUGGCGAGUGGCGAACGGGUGAGUAAUGCAUCGGAACGUGCCUUUUAGUGGGGGAUAACGUAGCGAAAGUUACGCUAAUACCGCAUAUUCUCUGAGGAGGAAAGCAGGGGACCUUCGGGCCUUGCGCUAGAAGAGCGGCCGAUGUCGGAUUAGCUAGUUGGUGAGGUAAAGGCUCACCAAGGCAACGAUCCGUAGCGGGUCUGAGAGGAUGAUCCGCCACACUGGGACUGAGACAAGGCCCAGACUCCUACGGGAGGCAGCAGUGGGGAAUUUUGGACAAUGGGCGCAAGCCUGAUCCAGCCAUGCCGCGUGAGUGAAGAAGGCCUUCGGGUUGUAAAGCUCUUUCGGCUGGGAAGAAAUCGCACCCUCUAAUACAGGGUGUGGAUGACGGUACCAGCAUAAGAAGCACCGGCUAACUACGUG